CCUACGGGAGGCAGCAGUAGGGAAUCUUCCACAAUGGGCGAAAGCCUGAUGGAGCAACGCCGCGUGGGUGAAGAAGGUCUUCGGAUCGUAAAACCCUGUUGUUAGAGAAGAAAGUGCGUGAGAGUAACUGUUCACGUUUCGACGGUAUCUAACCAGAAAGCCACGGCUAACUACGUGCCAGCAGCCGCGGUAAUACGGAGGUGGCAAGCGUUAUCCGGAUUGAUUGGGCGUAACGGGGACGAAGGCGGUCGUGUAAGUCUGAUGGAAAAGCCUUAGGGUUAACCGGAGUAGUGCAUUGGAAACUGGGAGACUUGAGUGCAGAAGAGGAGAGUGGAACUCCAUGUGUAGCGGUGAAAUGCGUAGAUAUAUGGAAGAACACCAGUUGCGAAAGCGGCUCUCUGGUCUGUAACUGACGCUGAGGUUCGAAAGCGUGGGUAGCAAACAGGAGUAGAUACCCCUGUAGUC
Molecule: ribosomal RNA, 465 nt
Filed under: uncultured bacterium
Lineage: Bacteria
Description: partial 16S ribosomal RNA
Rfam family: Bacterial small subunit ribosomal RNA
Source: RNAcentral